This 501-nucleotide long non-coding RNA is filed under the name Crocodylus porosus (Australian saltwater crocodile). Its description in RNAcentral is "lncRNA (ENSCPRG00005011162.1)". Lineage: Eukaryota; Metazoa; Chordata; Crocodylia; Crocodylidae. The record is from RNAcentral.
AGGCGCCCCGGAAGUGCUGCCCGGGCGGGGGUUUCUCUUCCGGGGCGGCCGGGCCGGACCUGGCCAGGUUAGGAGGAGGCAGGAAAUGGCGGCGUCGCUGCAGCAGCAGCUGCCGGGCCCUCCCGCUCCGCUGUGCCGGGCCCAGGCCUCCUAGGAGCUGCGGCCAGCGCCGGGCCCGGGCCGGACUCCGAGCACUUUACCUACAUGAGACAGUUGGAAGCCAAAGCUACCAAAGACGUGGGGAGAAAACUACGCAGGGAUUUAGUGCAAGAAGAGGAAGAACAGUUGAUGGAAGAAAGGAAAAAGAGAAAAGACGACAAGAAGAAGAAGGAAGCUGCUCAAAAAAAGGUAAGUUAAUCCUUAUACAAGUAAAAAUAUGAACCUAGGAUUUAGUUUUAAUGUCUGUUUACAAUAUUGCAUAUUUAGACAGUUGUUAAAGAUGAGACUUAAAAACCCCCCUCAUGUUCUGAAUCUACUAUUAACUGUUCACAAGUAAUUGUU